CUUACGGCCAUCAACAGUCGACCAAGAGGAGGUGAAGCGGGCGGUUCGUUGGGCAGCGCUUCGACCCAAAAUUGGUUGGUUGAAUCAAAAAAGGACGACGCAGAUUGUAUUUCCUCCUCGACUUGUGGCGGACAGUGUCUUACACGCGUGAAAAGCGACCCGGCCGAAAGAGAGAGAGAGAAUUCACGCCAGCAGACAUUUUCUAUUUCAGCGCCACCAGUUAUGGGAGUGUAAAAGAAGUUUGACAUCAUCUGCUGGCCGUUGCGCGAAGAUUUGCUUGUUUGGUCUAUUCAUUCACAAGGUGAGGAGCAAAGACCCUGCGAAUACAAGAAGAAGAAGAAGAAGAGGCUGCUGCUGGUGUACAGUGGGCGGAGUGGGAGGUGAAUCGUAGAUAGGUAUAGGAAACCUAACCUGCCCAGUUGUUGUUUUGUGUGUCUUCGUUUGGUCUAACCCGACACACAACGGAGAAACAUCAUCCUCUUCUCUCUCGCUCUUCUCGCAUUGGCGGCGAUGAAAUGACUUCACCUUGGACAGCGGCUGUACGAUAACGCGUCGUGUGUGUGUGUGUGUGUUUCUUUGACUGGGCGGAUGAUUCAACCCGCGUCCCGAUAAAGACCGGCUGGCCGUUUUGUCUCUUUCACGCAAAAGUGGCGCGCUCCUUGUUGUACCUCAUUCGAUCGAAAAAAGAGAAGACUUCAAGUUCAAUGUCAUCAUCUCAUCGGCUGGUUAUUGUCCUGUGAACGGACCCCCCCACACCAAAAAAAAAGACGAGGAAAACUCGCAGGUGUCGUGGCCGUGUGAAUCCAUCGGUGCGCCGCCCUUAUCGAUCCGCGAUAUUAUUGAGAGGGGGGAAAACUUAGAAAAUCUCCUCGGCUUUUAUUUUCGGUGUGUGUGAAAAAUGAACAUUCCUCCAGCAGUAGUUGAACAUUCCCAUCGAGUGUUGGCUGACGUGACUCGACCAGCAGCGCGGUGGCGUGUUCACGGUGUCCGGCUGGGUUAGCAGCGGUCGGCCUUCCGACUAGCAACUACUUGGAUCGUGAAAAUUUUAAAAAUAAAAAAACAAAGUGUUUCCCUCCAAACGAAAUUAACCAAAAAAAAAGUAAUAAAAAACUUUUAAGUGAAGUGAACUGAAAAAUGCAUUUGAUCGAGUCGACAAAGACGUCGGCGGCAACAUCCGGCAGUUGCCCGGAAGCCCCGGCUACUGGCGGCGAAGGCCAACCGAAAAGGCAGCAGCCUCACCUGUUGCCUGGCGUUUCGUCGGCUGGCCGGAAUCAUAAAAAUUCCCGUCCGUGGGAUUACGACACGGAGGAUAGUGGCGUGGACAGCGUGAGCAGUUUGGCCGGCCUGGAAGCCGACAACAGUGCUGGCCAUCCGACGACGACAGUGUCCAACCAGAAGACGAGUAGCGUCGAGUACUCGGCUGUGAUAGUCAACAACAACAACAAAGUGAACAACGCAACUGUUGCUGCUGCUGACGCCGUGAGCAAACAGCAACCGGUCCAGCAAAGAAAAUCCUUCCUGCACACGUCCGUCUACGGCGGCGUCCAGCGAUCAUCUCCUCCGGACUCCGGCACCAGCAAAAACUUGUUCCGGAAGAAUGUGACCAACAAAGUUGUUUCGAAAAAAGGACACGGUGUCGUCAACCAGGAGUUGCAGAGUGACGGGCGAGCCCUGGACUCGGCCAAGAACCACUUUCUGCACAGUUUGCUGGACGAUGAGGUCAGCAAGGCCGUCCGAUCGUCCGGAGGAGAAGACGUGCUGCUGGAAUCUGAAUCCGCUUCAUCAACGUCGGCCGCUUUAGAUUUGCUGCCCGAGCUGGUCCAGCUGCUGGACGCCAACCGGGUGAUGGACGGCGGUUUGAUUGAGCUGAUCGGGCGAGACGGGACGAGGGCCAGUCUCCGUGUGACCUUGGCCAGUCAGUCCACCACCUCCGCCUCGGCCGUGAUGACCUCACGCAAAAACAGUUUCAAUACGCGUCUGCACCGCAACUCGAAACGCUCAUCUCAACGUCGUUGCCACAAACCACCUGCAGAAGUUGUUGUUGUUGCAGAAACAGCAACAACAGCAACAACUGCCAACAACAAGACGGCAUCCGCUCCGUCCAACAACAACUUGUCCAGCGGCGGCGGCGGUAGUGCGGGUAGUUUUAUUACCGGCCAGCGGCCCCGCAGCGUCCGUCGGCGACCUUCGUUAUCAUCGUCUUUCCAUAAAAAAGUUGUGCCCGGCUUCAGUGUCUCGAUGGCCAUACCCCCCAGCAAAGUGGCCAUUUUGGCCUCCAAAUUCAAUUCGCUCAUCAACGAGAGUCGACGGAGUAGCGCCGCCGCAGCCGCCAACGCCAACAACAAUAACAACAACAACAACACCUUACACCCUGGCCCGGAUGCUGAUGAUAAGAAAUUAUCAACAAAUGACCGGCCGGUGCUGGAAUCGACGAUCCCGGCACUUCCUAUCUCAUCGACUUGGUCGUGGCGUUUAGUCGGGCCGACAGCCAGCGAGUCGCUCGCAGUUUCCAGCACUAAGCGCAACAACAACAACAACAACUUGGCGUCAAGCGUCGGCAGGUCCCGACCGAUUGAUACCAUUCCCGAAUUAAUUGAUCCGCCACCGGAACAACCGAUCCAGCCAGCCAAAUCCACUCACGCCGACUACGGGAAACCGAGACGAAAGAGUCACGAUCUCUCUCAACCUUACGGCGGACGGAGUCAUCCGGUGGCCAGGCCGCUGCCUUCCGAUCCGGCGGGAUCGCUGAAAAAUCGUGAAAGUGUCUACGGCACGGUGAUGAGCAUCGUCAAACAGGCCAUCCGCAAAUUCGAGAAACUGGAAGACGGAAAGACGCCGAUCGCUGGGGUGGAGUCGAGCAACAAUGACAACAACAAUCCAUCGGCUUCGAUGACGCCAAUGUCCGUCGAUGGAGCCACGUCUUCCUGCUACUACUACCAGGAGCCGGCGGCCGUGAUUCCGGAAGGCAUUGAGCCCAACAAUUCCUUUUUGUGGCGGGAUCAAAAGAGUAUGCAGAAUCUGAUCUACGAGGCGACCAGUUUCAGCGAACGGACGGCCACGUCACUCACAACGGGCAGGGGGGGUCUCCAUCCGGACGCGUGCAACUAUUACGAGAUGGGCAGCAGCAAAUACGACACGCUCCGGUCACGCCGAUCCAACGCCUACGACACUUUGCACCACCGGAAUCAAAGCAAAUCGUCGUCGUCGUCUUCAUCCAGCGGCUACGACGAAAUCCGGUCGCCUGACAGUUUGACGUCGAAUCCGUCGGAUCCGGCGACUUCCGUCAAGUACGACGACAUCAAACUGACGCCCAAUUGCGUUGUGACUUACGACGAACUGUCGUACCUGACCGGGCGGAGGCAAUCCAACGGCUACGACGAACUGAUGCGAUCGCCUCUGUCCACAACGUCUUCCGGCGGAUACAUCGAUCCGGGAAGCAGCUCGGCUUUGGGAUACGAAAGGAUCUUGCCGCCGGAAGAUCAGAGACGUCAUCACGCAACUGCCGAGCAGACGGAUGCAGACGAAGACGGAAGUACCUUACGAUACGAAGAAUGCGGAUCACCUUCCGGCGUCAUCCAGUCGUCUUCUUCUCCCAUCACCGUCACAGCUCUUCCGGCCAUUGUAUGCGAAGAUCAGCUGGACAGUAUCAGCUACCUGUACGACGACAUCCGCACGGUGGGCAGGGGCGACGGAGGAGGAGGCUACGGCGGAUGUUACGGCGGAUCGAAUCACUCGUACGAACCCAUUUACGCUCACCUGGGCGAAGGGACCAGUAAAAUGGAAUCGUCCAACUCGACUUGUUCGUUAUCUUCUACCUCGGUGGCCGGACCAAACGACAAAUCCAGCGACACUCUCUCGGACUCAUCAGAGGAGGGCGUGCAUGAAGUUUGUUCCUACAAAUUAACCCAGCUGGGCAAUGGUGCGGUACCGGAUUCGCCUGCGCCCAGUUUGGCCGGAACCUCAACGUCAACACGAACGGGAGCCGAGCGACGGAGCGAAACGAGCGACGAAUGGAUCGACAUUAGCGAUCCGGAUGAGCCGGCCUGGACUGUAACGCGCAUUCGACAAAGGCACGAAGUGACCAACGCUUCCUUCGUUCGAAGAGGACAUCGUGCCAGCCGUCGUAAACUGUCCAUCCCGAAGGCGAGUGGCCAGCAAUCGUGGUCUCAAACGAUGCGUACCCUAGUCAAGAAUGGAUUCAACAAGGCGACUACCCUUUCAAAGCGAUCCGGUAAAGACAUCCAGCGCCAACAAGAACAACGGAACAACGACGUCAAAUCUUCAUCGGCCAGCAACCCAUCGGCGGCGGCGUCGGUGGCAUCCAAAGCGGCCAUUUAUUCCGACGCUGGGCCUGGGACUGCUGCUGGUGCUGCUGUUAUUCAGUUGACCAAGUCAUCGGCCAGGCGGCUACCUUCGGCCGAAACGGAAGCCAGCGGAACGGGUAGCAGCCAAACGUGGGAGGACUACGGUGAGAGCGAUGGAGACGAUCUAGUCGACGACCAUCACUACGAGGCCCUUUACGAAGUGAUUAAUCCGCGGUUGCAAUCCAGCAGCGGAGCCGCAGCGACGCAUUUGGAUCACAAUGACGACAGUUUUGACGACUCGUUUGAUUCGGACGAUGCCUUUGAAGAGGUCGUCGUACGAGGACUGGAUGCGAUAUCCGAUACGUCGAGAGAGCGGCCUGGAUCGAGAUCGGGUUCGGAGCGCUCGAAAGAAAGUGAGGAUCCAUCACUACGAUCGAGUCAAGUGAAAAUCGGUCGGUUCGCCGAUUUGGCCGGCGAACAAAUGCGCCGAUUGCGUCGCAAUUGGACCACGACCAAGACGGACAUUGGCAAAUCCAUCACGCGCAUCAAGAAGAAGAGCACGGCCAGUGUGGCCGAUUUGAGCGAAGUUUUUAAACCCUCGGCGUCGGCGUCGAGACGUGAAGUUUCUCCGGAGAAGAGCCCCAACGGCCAGAAAGAAUUGCCUUCGCCAUCACCUCCGUCUCCUCCUCCUCAAGAGAUCCGGCCCAGCAGUCACGUCGAAGUUCAAAAGAAGAAAGGCACUUGGGCAAUGCGCCAAAUCCGCCGGCGGAUGACUGUCGUGUCGUCACCGAAUUACGGCGCUGGCAACAAAGAAAAAGCCUCGACUUUCUACCUGACGUUGACCAUCGAAAAGCCCGCACAAGUCAAUGCCAAUGGCAAGAGUCCGGCAGUCAGUGAAACGUCCAGUCCGGAACCCGUUUCCACGCCCAGUCCCGUGCCACCUUUAAUUAGUCCAGCAGAUUCUUCCAAAGUGCCCGUUCGUCCAAAGAGGAUAUCAUCCGCCUAUGCUCUUGGAUCGCAAUACCAAUCGACCGUUCGACCCAAAACGGCCCCACCUGCUCCACCUGUCAAAUCGCCGUCCCAGCAGCAACAAGCGGCGGCCGAAUCGGCAAUGGCCGCUUCGCCACCUCCAUUGGCCAGCAUUCCGGCUAAAAAGCCGCUCUCCCGGCUCCCGACGGCCUUCAGUGAGAGCCGAAUAGCCGCCGAACGGUCCGUCUUGAUGGACGAAUAUCAGUCGAUGCAUUACAGCGACAUUGCGUUCGUUACGCCCGGCCAGAAACACAACGGCCCACCUCCAUCAUUGAGCACACCCUACAGUCGACUGUCGAUGGCCAGCGUGACUUCCUCCCGCCAUUCGAACGAAACUUACAUGGGCGUGGGCGAUUUGGCGUCGGCUCCCGAACGUUCCACCGUGCCAGACGAUGUCCGCAAUUACUUGGAUCUCCAAUCGCCAAUCGAGACGGAAGAAUUGUACAUUAGCAGCCAUUUUGCGGACGAGCCGCUCUACCAAUUCUACACGGCUGCCAUCAUCGAGCGGGCCACGCAGAAUCAAGGCGACGGGAGCGAAGAGGACGACUACGAGGUGAUUGGUGAACACCGUCGCAAAGAAGAAGAAGAAUUCCAGUCUGAUUAUAACAAAGGGAAUAACGCCAAAUUACCAACAGCCAUGGAACUGGUGAUGCCAUCGAGUGGUCGCAGGACAUUGUGGUGCGAAUUACCGCAGGUCAUCAACAGCGGCCUCUUAGAAACCAUUUCUCCGCAGCAGCGCAAACUCCAAGAGGCCAAAUUCGAGUUGAUCACUUCAGAGGCGUCGUACCUGCGCUCGCUGAACGUGUUGACGACGCACUUUAUUCAGAGCCGUGAAUUCGCCGGUGAUGCCAACAGCGAGGCGUUGCUGUCACGGCUGGAACGCCACACCCUUUUCUCCGACAUUGUCCCGGUGCGCGAGUGCUCGGAGGCUCUUCUGGCCGACCUGGAACAACGUUGGCAAGAGAACGUCUUCAUCCGCGAAAUCUGCGACAUCCUCCUGGAACACGCGGCCAAACAUUUCGAAGUUUACAUCAAGUACUGCACCAAUCAGCUCUACCAAGAGCGAAUGCUCAGAGACCUCAAGGAGACCAAGCCGCAGUUUGUGGAUUGUCUGCGUCGAUUGGAGUCGAGUCCCGUUUGCCAAUCAUUGGCCAUGCACAGUUUCCUGAUGUUGCCGAUGCAGCGCAUCACUCGACUGCCGCUCUUGGUCGAUGCCAUUUUUCAUCGGCUGGAGAGCGGCACGCCCGAAUUCGAACGCUGCCGUAUGACUCUGGCCACUCUGAACAAGAUAGUGCAAGAGUGCAACGAGGGGGCCCGCAAGGCCGAGCGGAUUCACGAAAUGCUGGUGGUGUCCAAUCAGUUGGAUUUCGCCGACGUCAAGGCCAUUUCGGUCAUGUCCGCUUCGCGAUGGUUGGUCAAGAAAGGCGAGAUGCAGCGUCUCAUGUGGCGUGACAUUGACGCCCGGCUCACGUUCGGACGCAAAAUUCAUAAGCAGACCGUCUACGUCUUUCUCUUUACCGACCUCUUGGUCAUCACCAAAAAGAAAGGGGAGGAUUCUUAUGCUGUUCUCGACUAUUGCCCUCGCAAUAUGGUUCAAGUGGAUGAGCACAUCCGCACGGAAAAACCAAUUGGUAAACCAGGAUCCGAGUUGGGAAAGAAUUUGAUCCUUUUGACGAUGCUUCAAAACCACGAAAAUAAAACUCUGGAAAUGAUCCUUUCUUGCUCGUCGGAAUCUGAUCGAACUCGAUGGCUGGAAGCCGUUACUCCGCGAACGUCUGAUAAUCCGGAAGAAAAGAUUUACGAGGAAUGGGAUUGUCCUCAAGUCCAGGCCAUACAUCCUUACGUUGCCACUCAGCCGGAUGAGUUGUCCCUGGAAGUGGCUGACGUCGUCAACGUUCUCCGUAAAAUGGCCGAUGAUGAGGAGGAUGAUGGCUCAUGUCAAGCUGAUGAAAUGACUGCGCUUUGAGAUGAUGGGUUAUGUAUAACACACGCUGCUGGGUGUAUAACCCGUUAAUAACUUAGGCUGGUAUCAAGGCGAGCGGAUGCGAGAUGAUCAGCGCGGCUGGUUCCCGGGCAACUACACUGUGGAAAUCGCGUCGUCUCACGUCCGAGCGCGCAAUCUACGUCAACGUUACCGCCUUCUCGCCUUGUCGGGCA
This 7490-nucleotide unclassified non-coding RNA is filed under the name Daphnia pulicaria. Its description in RNAcentral is "serine-rich adhesin for platelets-like, transcript variant X2". Lineage: Eukaryota; Metazoa; Arthropoda; Branchiopoda; Diplostraca; Daphniidae. The record is from RNAcentral.